Small nucleolar RNA from Salvelinus fontinalis (brook trout), 76 nucleotides. RefSeq annotates it as small nucleolar RNA SNORD103/SNORD85. The transcript has a single exon. The record is from RefSeq and is a predicted model, not a curated record. NCBI's taxonomy places the organism in Eukaryota, Metazoa, Chordata, Actinopteri, Salmoniformes, Salmonidae.
UUUGGCUGUGAUGACAAACUUGCCCUCACUUAGAGUACCUCUUUGAUGAGAAUUUAUAGUACUCGUCUGAGCCAAG